UGUCCCAGACUCGACAGUCUCGCCUGCGUUUGUGAUGUUCUUUCUAUCUUGAGUCUCACCAUCUUGGCGGGUGUGAAGCGUUACUUUGUUUGUGACUCUCUUUUCCCCAGCGACCAAGGAGGCUGAGCAUCUGUCUGGGGUGCUGGUUGGUUAUCUAUACAUCUCCAUUGCAGAAGCCUCUAUUCUGAUCCUAUGCCAGCAAUUGACUCGAGACACUAUUCUCUCUGGAGCUGUCAGAGUUCUGUAGAUGUUGAGGCUAUGAGCUCUACAACAGAUCCGUGAUCUGCAAGUGUUUGCUCCCUUUCUCCCUGACUUCCUUGGCACCCAGCCAUGCUGGCAUUUCCCUGUGCCGCCAGCCACCAAGUUCCAGAUGCUACCAUGAUGUCAACCUGACUUCCCUGGGCAGACGACCCCACCAAUGUGUCCUGGAACCCCACCUCUCCAGAACCCCGCCCCACUAGGGAAAGAGAGAGAAAGUCUGGGAGUAUGGAUCCACCUGCCAAUGCCCAUGUUCAGCAGAGAAGCAAUUACAGAAGCCAGACCUUCCAUCUUCUGUGCCCCAUAAUGACCCUGGGUCCAUGCUCCCAGAGGGUUAAAGAAUAGGAAAGCUUUCAUGGGAGGGGAUGGUAUAUGGUGUUCUGGUGGUGGUAAUUGUGUGGAUUUGUAGCCCUCUUACCCUAUGGUCUUGUCAAUAUUUCCAUUGUAUAAACAAAUAAAUAAAAUAAAUAAAUAAAUAAGAAAAAAAAUAAGACAGGAUUGACACUCAGAGGCGUUAAUCUGGCUUAAUACCUCAGAUAUGGCUAGGGAAAGGGACCUGCACAUUAUAAGAUCACUUUGG
This is a long non-coding RNA of Erinaceus europaeus (western European hedgehog), 838 nucleotides long. RefSeq lists it as uncharacterized. The transcript is spliced from 3 exons. Lineage: Eukaryota; Metazoa; Chordata; Mammalia; Eulipotyphla; Erinaceidae. The record is from RefSeq and is a predicted model, not a curated record.